RNAcentral lists this ribosomal RNA (301 nucleotides) under uncultured bacterium. RNAcentral's name for it is "partial 16S ribosomal RNA". It matches the Rfam family "Bacterial small subunit ribosomal RNA", at positions 509 to 809 of the family's 1533-position model. The record is from RNAcentral.
CAGUCGCCGCGGUAAUACGUAGGGUGCGAGCGUUAAUCGGAAUUACUGGGCGUAAAGCGUGCGCAGGCGGUUUUGUAAGACAGGCGUGAAAUCCCCGGGCUCAACCUGGGAAUGGCGCUUGUGACUGCAAAGCUAGAGUGCGGCAGAGGGGGAUGGAAUUCCGCGUGUAGCAGUGAAAUGCGUAGAUAUGCGGAGGGACACCGAUGGCGAAGGCAAUCCCCUGGGCCUGCACUGACGCUCAUGCACGAAAGCGUGGGGAGCAAACAGGAUUAGAUACCCCUGUAGUCCCUGUCUCUUAUAA